GAUGAAGAACGCAGCGAAAUGCGAUAAGUAAUGUGAAUUGCAGAAUUCAGUGAAUCAUCGAAUCUUUGAACGCAUCUUGCGCUCCUUGGUAUUCCGAGGAGCAUGCCUGUUUGAGUGUCAUUAAAUUCUCAACCUUACUAGCUUUUGCGAAGUAAGGCUUGGAUGUGGGGGUUACUUUUGCUGGCUUCUAACGAGGUCGGCUCCCCUGAAAUGCAUUAGCGGUGCCCUUGUGGACCCCGACUAUCAGUGUGAUAAUUAUCUACGCUGUUAGGCGCCCACGCUUUAGUGCUGCUUCUAACCGUCCGGUUUCUGGACAACACAAAUGACAUUUUUGACCUCAAAUCAGGUAGGACUACCCGCUGAACUUAAGCAUAUCAAUAAGCGGAGGA
Molecule: unclassified non-coding RNA, 389 nt
Filed under: soil metagenome
Description: partial contains 5.8S ribosomal RNA, internal transcribed spacer 2, and large subunit ribosomal RNA
Rfam family: 5.8S ribosomal RNA (bases 1-120)
Source: RNAcentral